RNAcentral lists this long non-coding RNA (223 nucleotides) under Cyanistes caeruleus (blue tit). Its description in RNAcentral is "lncRNA (ENSCCEG00000023548.1)". The record is from RNAcentral. Lineage: Eukaryota; Metazoa; Chordata; Aves; Passeriformes; Paridae.
AUAAAUGUCUUAAGUAUUCUUGAUGUUAUUUCUUCGAUCCCCCUUUGUUUCUGCCAUUGUUGCUUAAAAGUAUCUCAGACAGGUACCUAGAACAUUUUAAAUGAAGAUAUUGUAGCUCUUCUUUUUUUCAGUUUGUCUUGACAGAUAAAGUGCCCAAAGAAACAGAAAAGCUGACAAAGCUUCCUAACUUGGCUUUCAGAGACCUUGCUCAGUGUUUUUGGUA